Molecule: long non-coding RNA, 493 nt
Organism: Labeo rohita (rohu)
Lineage: Eukaryota; Metazoa; Chordata; Actinopteri; Cypriniformes; Cyprinidae
Exons: 4
Source: RefSeq, a predicted model, not a curated record
UUGAAAUGUAGUGUUGAAAAAAAAUGACAUAAUUCUAUCUGCUAUAUUUAUAAUUUAAUUAUAUUUAAAUUAAGUCAUUUACCUGUAAAAAUCAGAGACGUCUACUGCACUACAUUGCCUAGGCUAUGUAUUAAUAUUCAACUUCUACGUCUGUCCGAAACAUGCCAAAGUUGUAGGUGGUGUGGCACUGUGAAGAAAAUAAAAACUCUGAGUUGGUCACAGAAAGAGCGCAGGUUUGAGAAGUUGAUCCACAGGACCGUCCCUAUUCUCUUUCCAGCGGGAGCUUUUGAACUGCUCCAUAAAUCUCAGAGCCAGAGAACAAAGGUGAUCACAGUAGGGGUUCAAGUGCAGACUCACCUUUAUUGGCCGGACAGCGGCGCUAUAGCGAUCAAAGAUGAACAGCACUAUGAGGGCUCAUUAGUCAGCACAGACAGGAAGUCGCCCCCAUCCUCAGCUAAUAACUAAGAUUUGUUCAAGCAGCUGGAGAGAUUUU